UUGCUUUGGCAGCAAGCAUCUAAAAUUGGGAUGAUGCAGAGAAGAUUAGCACUGCCCCUACACAAGGGUGACAUGCAAAUUCUUGCAGCAUUCCAUAUUAAA
Small nuclear RNA from Suricata suricatta (meerkat), 102 nucleotides. The record is from Ensembl. NCBI's taxonomy places the organism in Eukaryota, Metazoa, Chordata, Mammalia, Carnivora, Herpestidae.